Molecule: ribosomal RNA, 515 nt
Filed under: Staphylococcus cohnii
Lineage: Bacteria; Bacillati; Bacillota; Bacilli; Caryophanales; Staphylococcaceae
Description: bacterial SSU rRNA
Rfam family: Bacterial small subunit ribosomal RNA
Source: RNAcentral
CGGACGGGUGAGUAACACGUGGGUAACCUACCUAUAAGACUGGAAUAACUCCGGGAAACCGGGGCUAAUGCCGGAUAACAUUUAGAACCGCAUGGUUCUAAAGUGAAAGAUGGUUUUGCUAUCACUUAUAGAUGGACCCGCGCCGUAUUAGCUAGUUGGUAAGGUAACGGCUUACCAAGGCAACGAUACGUAGCCGACCUGAGAGGGUGAUCGGCCACACUGGAACUGAGACACGGUCCAGACUCCUACGGGAGGCAGCAGUAGGGAAUCUUCCGCAAUGGGCGAAAGCCUGACGGAGCAACGCCGCGUGAGUGAUGAAGGUCUUCGGAUCGUAAAACUCUGUUAUUAGGGAAGAACAAAUGUGUAAGUAACUAUGCACGUCUUGACGGUACCUAAUCAGAAAGCCACGGCUAACUACGUGCCAGCAGCCGCGGUAAUACGUAGGUGGCAAGCGUUAUCCGGAAUUAUUGGGCGUAAAGCGCGCGUAGGCGGUUUCUUAAGUCUGAUGUGAAAGC